This is a non-coding RNA of Cyanistes caeruleus (blue tit), 547 nucleotides long. Lineage: Eukaryota; Metazoa; Chordata; Aves; Passeriformes; Paridae. The record is from RefSeq and is a predicted model, not a curated record.
GCGGGCGCGACCCCUGCGCGGGAGCCAGGGACAGGUGACAGGUGUGCGGGCAGCGGCCACCCCCGGCUCUGCACGGCCACGGCCUCGCUCUCGGGGUGUCCGAGGGGGCCCCGUGUGCGUGGGGUCUUCCAUGAGCACCUUCUCUGGGAAGUGCAGUCGGUCAGAGCUGUAGUUGAUUUAAGAUGCGUUUAUAAUUUCGCCGUUGUUUUAUUAAAGGUCUUUCAAAUUCCCCAGACAGAAGUCCCCUUCAAACGAUCGCUUGAACUUGAAGAUAUACCUUGUAAUACUGUCAGUCUAGGAGAACACGGUAGCAAGAUUCCUUGACAAAACCUCUUGGAAACUGGGACUUGUGAAUACUUCUUCGCCCCUGAAGCUUUGAAGAGGAAUAUGUUAAGCUAAACCUUGAAGUUGUUUCCUACUUAACAGGACAUAGACCAGCAAGAACUCUUCUUCUAAAGUCCAAGCAUAAGGUACCAGAUAGCUGCCCCCUGCUGUAGUCUGUCCCUGAAUAAAAUUUGUGCUUUUCCUGAUGCUUCUUGCAGCUCAA